Long non-coding RNA from Macadamia integrifolia, 2472 nucleotides. RefSeq lists it as uncharacterized. The transcript has 2 exons. The record is from RefSeq and is a predicted model, not a curated record. NCBI's taxonomy places the organism in Eukaryota, Viridiplantae, Streptophyta, Magnoliopsida, Proteales, Proteaceae.
GAAAGCAGAGCCUCCAUUGCCGUUUUGUCUUUUCCACUAGCUUUUCCACCGCCAUCAUCAUCAUCCCCAACAAUAGUAGUUAUCCGCCUCAGGUCAUUAAUCCUGUUAUGGAUCUCCUUGAUUCCUUUUUUUAGUGAGCCAAGCCAGAUCACCUAGUGCCUCGAGGCUCAGAUCUUUCAAAUCCUUAUUAGCUGCAAGACAAUCAUACAUGAGUUUGGUGGUCUCCGAUACUUGAUUCUCCCUCACUUGUGACUUCAAUUUUUCCUUUUAACUUUCCAAUCCUUUGCUUGAGGAACUCCUUUUGGUUCAUCAUCUUCUUUGCUUGUUCCAUCUCAGACAAGUUCUUGAAUCUAGUGAGCAUCUGAAGGAGAUGGUGGCCAAAUGUCUGGAUUUGGAUCACAAGGACCGUAGAUGAUGGCCACCGCAUUCACCCCACAUAGGGUGCUCAGUUCACUCACCUUCUUCAGUACGCCCUUCUUUCUUUUCCUGAAGGUGGUUCUCCUUGUUCCUUCGUCAGCGAUAAAUUCGACAUAUAUAGCGUUACUCCGGUGCAACUGCCUACAGAUAGGGCAAGGGAGAUCUCGCCCUCGCUGCCUCUGCAAUCGUCGGCGGACGCUGCAAUGGCCCUCCCACCAAGAAGAAUUCUCAGGAAGAAGAAAGGAUGUUGUUGCGAAACAACUGGUUGGAAGAUAAAGCAAAUAUUUGAUAUGGCUUAUGAUGAGGCAGAGGAUUCAAAUAUACUUCAUUUUCAUCUAAGAGAUAUGGGUUGAGUGGUGUGGAGGUUUUAAUGAUGGAUGACAAGGAAUUGAAUCAGUAUAUUUCUUCGAAAAAGCUUGUUCCUUACCAAGAAAGGGAAUGGAAAAGUAAAGAGAUAUGAACAGAAAAUGAAGAAUAAGUUGCUUCUUCAAGUAGAAAAUUUGAAUGAGCAGAAGGCUGGAAAGAAGCAUAGGCCAAAGGCUGGUCAUCUCACAGCAAAAACCAGCAUCAGGCUCUAAGGAGAAAGUGGAAGCAGAGAAAUUCAAUGGUGAAGUGGGUGCAUCCCAGGGAAGCAGGACAAGCAGGUAGCUAGCUAUGCCUUGUAAUGGUCUGGUGGUAUCAACUGCGGUAUCGUUGAUGUUUGUCUGCAAUGGAUUCUUCAUAUGCUUUAAGCUAUGUAUCAGAGGCUUGAAUACAUGGCCAUGGAGAUGGAUGGUCAUUGAGGAAGCUAGGGGUGAUCAUACAGUAAUGUAACUUGAAAUUAGGUUUGAAACUGAACAUAGAAAAGAGCAAGGAGAGUCUUUCAUUUGUAUCCAAACUUGUCUCCACUAGCUAUGUGACUUAGGUGGGUCCAUUUUAUAGAGGACUACACCUCUAUCUCAUUGAUCAAGGUUCAAGCUAAACAAUUUGAUCCUUGAUUCUUUUGAGUAGUACUCCUGGAGUCUCUCAAUUUGCAAAAUCCCAAAACUAAUUCUGAAUAUAGUUGCUAAUGGUAUUAGGUUGCUGCUGAACAAUUUCAAGGGAGCUUUGAUUCUUUCCAAAAAAAUGUCUGUGAACUUGUUUGUCUCUAUACUUCUCUUUGUUCAAUGGCUUAUUUAUGUUCAAUUUUAUCAGAAAUUUUGUUUUGGGGGACCUUUGACUAUUGGUGUGGUGGGGAUCAGUUUUGCUUGGGGAGGAGAAGCUGCUGGAGAGAACUUGAAGAAUAAGAUUUUGAGUUGAGUUUGUCAAUGAGAAAUAGUGGGGUUCUUUCUAGCCCAUUGGUUGGGCCUGGAAUGAGAAUUUUGAUGCUUAUUGGUGAGUAGUGCUGUUUGUCUCUAGAUCAGAGCCUUAUGUGAGUUUCAGAAUCUACCACAUCACUUGAUGAACUUGCAGGAGUUUUGUGUUUGUAAUGGGAUGAGGACUACCAUAGACCAGAACUCUGGUUGAUUGGUUGUGUCAAUUGUGAUGGUUGAUCAUGCUUUCUAUCAUAUGUUGGCCCUUUACUUUCUAGCACACUACUUCUAAAUAGACUCUUUCACCAGUUGCUGCCAUUUCUUUGAAAAUGAUCUUGCAACUAUAAUUAAGAAUUUAGACAUUUAUUAUUCUGCUUAAGUAGUUCCUCAUGAAGCUGUUUUUGUCUAUUGCUCCUGUAACUGAAAGGAUAUCCAGGAUUUAAUCUCAUUUCUCUUCUGUUGCGCUCUGGAAGCAAUAUUCUCAAGAGAUUAGAAGCAGCAAAUGGUUUCUGUAAUGCCACAUGAGGCUAGUAGAAAAGGGGAAAAAAAAAAAGAGAAAUCUGGUGCACGAGUCUCCCACUAUUGCAGGAUAUGGGAGGAGCAAAUGUACACAACCUUACCCCCUACUUAAUAAGAAGCUGUUUCCAAGCAUGGAUGUAAAUGGAUCAGACACGGAUCAAAUUCGAAUCGGAUGUGUUCAGAUCUGGAUAUUUCUUGAUCGGAUUCGGAUACCCCUAAAUGAAUAUGGAUGCAAAUUGAAUUCGGAUUUUCAACUAUUCGUUUA